AGCGAACGCUGGCGGCAGGCCUAACACAUGCAAGUCGAACGAACCUUUCGGGGUUAGUGGCGGACGGGUGAGUAACACGUGGGAACGUGCCUUUAGGUUCGGAAUAACUCAGGGAAACUUGUGCUAAUACCGAAUGUGCCCUUCGGGGGAAAGAUUAAUCGCCUUCAGAGCGGCCCGCGUCUGAUUAGCUAGUUGGUUGAGGUAAUGGCUCACCAAGGCGACGAUCAGUAGCUGGUCUGAGAGGAUGAUCAGCCACAUUGGGACUGAGACACGGCCCAAACUCCUACGGGAGGCAGCAGUGGGGAAUCUUGCGCAAUGGGCGAAAGCCUGACGCAGCCAUGCCGCGUGAAUGAUGAAGGUCUUAGGAUUGUAAAAUUCUUUCACCGGGGACGAUAAUGACGGUACCCGGAGAAGAAGCCCCGGCUAACUUCGUG
Molecule: ribosomal RNA, 434 nt
Filed under: uncultured bacterium
Lineage: Bacteria
Description: partial 16S ribosomal RNA
Rfam family: Bacterial small subunit ribosomal RNA
Source: RNAcentral